GAUGAACGCUGGCGGCGUGCCUAAUACACGCAAGUCGAGCGAACAGAUGAGGAGCUUGCUCCUCUGACGUUAGCGGCGGACGGGUGAGUAACACGUGGAUAACCUACCUAUAAGACUGGGAUACCUUCGGGAAACGGGACCUAAUCCCGGAUAAUAUAUUGACCCGCAUGGUUCAAUAGUGAAAGACGGUUUUGCUUUCACUUAUAGAUGGAUCCGCGCCGCAUUAGCUAGUUGGUAAGGUAACGGCUUACCAAGGCAACGAUGCGUAGCCGACCUGAGAGGGUGAUCGGCCACACUGGAACUGAGACACGGUCCAGACUCCUACGGGAGGCAGCAGUAGGGAAUCUUCCGCAAUGGGCGAAAGCCUGACGGAGCAACGCCGCGUGAGUGAUGAAGGUCUUCGGAUCGUAAAACUCUGUUAUUAGGGAAGAACAAAUGUGUAAGUAACUAUGCACGUCUUGACGGUACCUAAUCAGAAAGCCACGGCUAACUACGUG
RNAcentral lists this ribosomal RNA (497 nucleotides) under uncultured bacterium. Its description in RNAcentral is "partial 16S ribosomal RNA". It matches the Rfam family "Bacterial small subunit ribosomal RNA", at positions 28 to 507 of the family's 1533-position model. The record is from RNAcentral.